CAAUAGCGUAUAUUAAAGUUGUUGCAGUUAAAAAGCUCGUAGUUGAAUUUCUGUCAGGAGUGACCGGGCCUUUGGAUGAACUUCCAUUGUUUUUUGCUCUGUUUGUCAUCUCUAGACAUCCUGAAAUAUUUUUUAAAAAUAUUUCUCUUUUACUGUUAGCAAAAUAGAGUGUUCCAAGCAAAGCGUAGUUUUGAAUACAUUAGAAUGGAAUAAUAAGAUAGGACUUUGGUGCUACUUUGUUGGUUUGCACACCAAGGUAAUGAUUAAUAGGGACAGUUGGGGGUAUUCGUAUUUAAUUGUCAGAGGUGAAAUUCUUGGAUUUAUGAAAGACGAACUACUGCGAAAGCAUUUACCAAGGAUGUUUUCAUUAA
RNAcentral lists this ribosomal RNA (371 nucleotides) under uncultured eukaryote. RNAcentral describes it as "partial 18S ribosomal RNA". It matches the Rfam family "Eukaryotic small subunit ribosomal RNA", at positions 592 to 976 of the family's 1831-position model. The record is from RNAcentral.